RNAcentral lists this transfer RNA (83 nucleotides) under Nematostella vectensis (starlet sea anemone). RNAcentral describes it as "tRNA-Ser". It matches the Rfam family "tRNA". From Rfam's summary of the family: Transfer RNA (tRNA) molecules are approximately 80 nucleotides in length. Lineage: Eukaryota; Metazoa; Cnidaria; Anthozoa; Actiniaria; Edwardsiidae. The record is from Rfam by way of RNAcentral.
GUUGCGGUGGCCGAGGGGUUUAGGGCGUUGGACUCGAAAUCCAAUGGGAUCUUCCCGCGCAGGUUCGAAUCCUGCCCGCAACG